GGAGGGUAGGUUUUAGUACGUAAUUGCCAUGGAUGGCAAAUCGUGCAUGCUGCUACUAAGAACCCGCAGUAUCUUUUGAAGAUUUUCUACCUCC
Molecule: non-coding RNA, 94 nt
Organism: Glossina austeni
Lineage: Eukaryota; Metazoa; Arthropoda; Insecta; Diptera; Glossinidae
Source: Rfam